CUUCUCCUUUGUGGCCGCGUGGAUUGUUUGGCGUGGCAGCUCGCGCAUCACACUCUCUACCAGACAGCUGACGCCCGGUGCGUUUGAGGAGGAUUGGCUCCUCCGGAGGUUCCCGGUCUUGCAGUGUUGCAACUAUUGUGGGAUUUGGCCGUGGGAUUGUUGGGUCUCUCUCUCCCUUCCCUGUGGGCUCUGUGGCUGCAACUGGCCGCACAGGCUGGGGUGCCAUAAACAUUCUCCCUUCCUGGUGGGCUCUGUGGCAGCGCCUAGCUGUAAAAGUUGGGACGCCGUAACCACUCUCCCCACCUCUGGUCAUCAUUCCCC
Molecule: long non-coding RNA, 321 nt
Organism: Gymnodraco acuticeps
Lineage: Eukaryota; Metazoa; Chordata; Actinopteri; Perciformes; Bathydraconidae
Exons: 4
Source: RefSeq, a predicted model, not a curated record